AAGAUUAAGCCAUGCAUGUCUAAGUAUAAACACCUUUAUACAGUGAAACUGCGAAUGGCUCAUUAAAUCAGUUAUAGUUUAUUUGAUAGUACCUCACUACAUGGAUAACCGUAGUAAUUCUAGAGCUAAUACAUGCGAAAAGACCCGACUUCUGGAAGGGAUGUAUUUAUUAGAUAAAAACCAACCCGGGCAACCGGUUCUUUGGUGAUUCAUGAUAACUUUUCGAAUCGCAU
This 233-nucleotide ribosomal RNA is filed under the name uncultured fungus. Its description in RNAcentral is "partial 18S ribosomal RNA". It matches the Rfam family "Eukaryotic small subunit ribosomal RNA", at positions 40 to 274 of the family's 1831-position model. The record is from RNAcentral. Lineage: Eukaryota; Fungi.